RNAcentral lists this ribosomal RNA (469 nucleotides) under uncultured bacterium. RNAcentral describes it as "partial 16S ribosomal RNA". It matches the Rfam family "Bacterial small subunit ribosomal RNA", at positions 28 to 507 of the family's 1533-position model. The record is from RNAcentral.
GAUGAACGCUGGCGGCGUGCUUAACACAUGCAAGUCGAACGGAAAGGCCCUGCUUGCAGGGUGCUCGCGAGGAGAAGGAGAGAGUAACACGUGGGUGAUAUGCACCUUACGUUGGGAUAAGCCUGGGAAACUGGGUACAAUACUGGAUAGGUCCAUGCAGUAGGUGGGGUGGCGGAAAGAUAUGUUUCGGUAAGGGAAGAGCUGGCGGCCUAUCAGCAUGUUGGUGGGGUAAUGGCGUACCAAGGCGUCGAAGGGUAGACGGCCUGAGAGUGUGGACGGCCGAAUUGGGACUGUGAGACGGACCAGACUCCUACGCGAGGCAGCAAUGGGGAAUAUUGCACAAUUGGCGCAUGCGUGAUGCAGCGACGCCGCGUGGGGGAUUACGGCCUUCGGUUUGUAGAUUCCUUUCAGCCAUGACGAAGCCCUUGUGAUGACGGUAGUGGUAGAAGAAGCACCGGCUAACUACGUG